This 845-nucleotide ribosomal RNA is filed under the name Pedobacter sp. DP_00002. RNAcentral describes it as "bacterial SSU rRNA". It matches the Rfam family "Bacterial small subunit ribosomal RNA", at positions 19 to 864 of the family's 1533-position model. Lineage: Bacteria; Pseudomonadati; Bacteroidota; Sphingobacteriia; Sphingobacteriales; Sphingobacteriaceae. The record is from RNAcentral.
AUGGCUCAGGAUGAACGCUAGCGGCAGGCCUAAUACAUGCAAGUCGAACGAUAGAUAGAGGCUUGCUUCUAUCGAAAGUGGCGCACGGGUGCGUAACGCGUAUGCAACCUACCUUCAUCUGGGGGAUAGCCCGGAGAAAUCCGGAUUAAUACCGCAUAAAAUCACAGCACUGCAUAGUGCAAUGAUCAAACAUUUAUGGGAAGAAGAUGGGCAUGCGUGUCAUUAGCUAGUUGGCGGGGUAACGGCCCACCAAGGCGACGAUGACUAGGGGAUCUGAGAGGAUGGCCCCCCACACUGGUACUGAGACACGGACCAGACUCCUACGGGAGGCAGCAGUAAGGAAUAUUGGUCAAUGGAGGCAACUCUGAACCAGCCAUGCCGCGUGCAGGAAGACUGCCCUAUGGGUUGUAAACUGCUUUUAUCCGGGAAUAAACCUGCUUACGUGUAAGUAGCUGAAUGUACCGGAAGAAUAAGGAUCGGCUAACUCCGUGCCAGCAGCCGCGGUAAUACGGAGGAUCCAAGCGUUAUCCGGAUUUAUUGGGUUUAAAGGGUGCGUAGGCGGCCUGUUAAGUCAGGGGUGAAAGACGGUAGCUCAACUAUCGCAGUGCCCUUGAUACUGAUGGGCUUGAAUGGACUAGAGGUAGGCGGAAUGAGACAAGUAGCGGUGAAAUGCAUAGAUAUGUCUCAGAACACCGAUUGCGAAGGCAGCUUACUAUGGUCUUAUUGACGCUGAGGCACGAAAGCGUGGGGAUCAAACAGGAUUAGAUACCCUGGUAGUCCACGCCCUAAACGAUGAACACUCGCUGUUGGCGAUACACAGUCAGCGGCUAAGCGAAAGCGUUAAG